This 406-nucleotide ribosomal RNA is filed under the name uncultured bacterium. RNAcentral's name for it is "bacterial SSU rRNA". It matches the Rfam family "Bacterial small subunit ribosomal RNA", at positions 354 to 776 of the family's 1533-position model. The record is from RNAcentral.
GCAAGGAAUCUUGCGCAAUGGGCGAAAGCCUGACGCAGCGACACCGCGUGGGGGAAGAAUGCCCUAGGGUUGUAAACCCCUUUUCUCGGGGAAGAGCAAGGACGGUACCCGAGGAAUAAGGUUCGGCUAACUACGUGCCAGCAGCCGCGGUAAUACGUAGGAACCGAGCGUUGUCCGGAAUUACUGGGCGUAAAGGGCGCGUAGGCGGCCUAUUAAGUCCCAUGUGAAAUCUCCCGGCCUAACUGGGAGGGGUCAUGAGAAACUGGUAGGCUUGAGGGCAGCAGAGGAGAGUGGAAUUCCCGGAGUAGUGGUGAUAUGCGUAGAUACCGGGAGGAACACCCGAGGCGAAGGCGACUCUCUGGGCUGCAUCUGACGCUGAGGCGCGAAAGCAUGGGGAGCAAACCGG